UGCGUCCCAACAUCACCGCGCAUCAUUCAGAUCUUCAGUUCGGCGGGCGCACACCAGAGUUGGUUGUGCCCCCGCUGAACUCUCAAAGACCUAUUAAGGCCAUAUUCAGAUGGUGCAGAACCCAGUGAUGUUAUGCCAUGGGAAAAGUGACAUAUUUCAAAGUAUCCAAAUACAUAGAGGUUGAAGGGUCAUGAGGACUCGAAACGUCAACUCUUUUCUUCUCCGCCAAUGCUGCCAGACCUGCUGAGUUUUUCCAGAUCAGCCCCCCCCUACACUACGACAGGUGCAACACCUGCAGAAUUACUGAUGAGGCGUCAUCUUCGAAUAAGACUAAGUCUGAUACUUCCCAAUUUGAAGGGGAAGGUGAACAAAAGUCAAGGGAACCAAAAUGUGACUCAUGAUUUGCAUAGUCAUGAGAGGCAAUUUACUGUUAGUGAAGCAGUAUAUGUAAGGAA
Carcharodon carcharias (great white shark) is the source of this 455-nucleotide long non-coding RNA. RefSeq lists it as uncharacterized. The record is from RefSeq and is a predicted model, not a curated record. The transcript has 3 exons. Lineage: Eukaryota; Metazoa; Chordata; Chondrichthyes; Lamniformes; Lamnidae.